This 454-nucleotide ribosomal RNA is filed under the name uncultured bacterium. RNAcentral describes it as "partial 16S ribosomal RNA". It matches the Rfam family "Bacterial small subunit ribosomal RNA", at positions 28 to 507 of the family's 1533-position model. The record is from RNAcentral.
GAUGAACGCUGACAGAAUGCUUAACACAUGCAAGUCUACUUGAACUUCGGUUUGGGUGGCGGACGGGUGAGUAACGCGUAAAGAACUUGCCUCACAGUUAGGGACAACAUUUGGAAACGAAUGCUAAUACCUGAUAUUAUGAUUUUAGGGCAUCCUAGGAUUAUGAAAGCUAUAUGUGCUGUGAGAGAGCUUUGCGUCCCAUUAGCUAGUUGGAGAGGUAACGGCUCACCAAGGCGAUGAUGGGUAGCCGGCCUGAGAGGGUGAACGGCCACAAGGGGACUGAGACACGGCCCUUACUCCUACGGGAGGCAGCAGUGGGGAAUAUUGGACGAUGGACCAAAAGUGUGAUCCAGCAAUUCUGUGUGCACGAUGACGUUUUUCGGAAUGUAAAGUGCUUUCAGUUGGGAAGAAAAAAAUGACGGUACCAAAAGAAGAAGUGACGGCUAAAUACGUG